Long non-coding RNA from Globicephala melas (long-finned pilot whale), 625 nucleotides. RefSeq lists it as uncharacterized. NCBI's taxonomy places the organism in Eukaryota, Metazoa, Chordata, Mammalia, Artiodactyla, Delphinidae. The record is from RefSeq and is a predicted model, not a curated record.
GACGCGCAGGCUCAGCGGCCAUGGCUCACGGGCCUAGCCACUCCGCGGCAUGUGGGAUCUUCCCGGACCGGGCCACUAACCCGUGUCCUCUGCAUCGGCAGGCGGACUCUCAACCACUGUGCCACCAGGGAAGCCCCACCACUGGCUAUUUUUAGAGAAUUUAAGGCCCACUGGUGAACUUCAGCACUCUUCCUUGAAGAAAAUCAGCAUCAUUCUGCAAAGACCUCUGGCAUAGGAGCCAGAAGAACUGGACUAAAAACUAGCUUCUCACCAUCUGUGUACACACUGGCUACUCCCAGCUCCAAAGGUGCCUCUUCUGUACUCUCUUCCUGAACUUGAGUCAACUCAAAACUGCAGAGGUCUCCCUCGCCCUGCCUCCACCCGCGAACCUCCCAACCAACCUGUAGGGCGCGUCAACCUCUGAGUACUAGUGGGGACAGCGGUGGCUGGCCAGAAAACGGAUUUGCUCACCAACCUGGAAUCUGUAUCUUGGAUCAGAGCCGAGGAUUUACAGCUGCCGCAGCCUCCACCAAAGCAGAAAGGCGUCCUUAUGAAUACAUGCAAAGCUUAUAAAGCCCUGGGCAGCUUAACUAUAGAGUUUCAAUAGCACGGCACCUCUGAGAAG